Oncorhynchus tshawytscha (Chinook salmon) is the source of this 3098-nucleotide long non-coding RNA. The record is from Ensembl. Lineage: Eukaryota; Metazoa; Chordata; Actinopteri; Salmoniformes; Salmonidae.
UCAUUGCUGUUUACCUGUUUGUUUUGUUGGUUGUUUCGGUUUCACUUUCAUUAAAAGAUGUGGAACUACAUGCACCCCGAGCCUUGGUUGAUUUAUGACGGGGAGUUUGAGGAUAGCGACCGUGACAUAUCCAUUGUCAUUUUUGACCAUAGACCUUUAGCCCUCGACAUAGUCCUAUCAGGACAAACUCGUACUCCUCUCUGGAGAUUCAAUUCUCUUCUCCUGUCUGAUUGCAGUCUUCUGUAACGUUAUCUCCACUUCUAUUGAUCAUUUCAUUUUUUUCCAAUCAGACUCAAGCUCAACCUCACGUUCUCUCUUAUGGGAAUCACUUAAGGCUCUAUCUUAGAGGAUGAGUUAUGUAUUAUUCUUCUCAUUUAAUCAAAACUCAGAAAGCUUAACUAGAAGGAGUCACUAAAGCCAUUCUUAACUCAGACCAUCAAUAUGCCCCGACGCCAUCUCCAGAGCUAAUAUAAAAUCUGAAUUCAGUCUCUUGUCCACUACAGAUGCAGAACUAUUGCAUUCAUGUGGUGUACCUACUAUGAACAUGGCGACAGGGCAAGUCGUCCGCUCGCACACCAAUUAAAACGCAGUGCUGCCACCCGUCUGAUUCCCCAAAUUAAAGAUUCCACUCAGCUUGAUUUCUGACCCUACGGGGAUCAAUGACACCUUCAAAUCUUUGUAUUCCUCCCUGGGGCGGCAGGGUAGCCUAGUGGUUAGAGCGUUGGACUAGAAACCGGAAGGUUGCAAGUACAAAUCCCCAAGCUGACAAGGUUCUGUCUUUCUGGCCCUGAACAGGCAGUUAACCCACUGUUCCUAGGCUGUCAUUGAAAAUAAGAAUUUGUUAUUAACUGACUUGCCUGGUUAAAUAAAGGUAUAUGUCUGAAUUUCCAUCAGAUACUGCCAAUAUGACUAUAAAUUUGUGUGAACUAGAGACUCCCACAGUUGCAACUGCAGAUUACCUUGAUUCUCCUCUCAGCAUUGAAGAAGUUAUUCCGCCUAUCAAUUCAAUGCAGAGCAGCAAGGCUCCAGGGCCUGAUGGGUUUCCAGCUGAGUUCUUUAAGAAAGUCUAUACCAAGUUGGCCCCUUUACUUUUAUCUAUCACUUGAACGUGGCUCAUUGCCACCUACCCUAACACAGACUUCAAUAGCGCUUCUCCUUAAAAAGGGGAUAGACCCCACUUCCUGUUCUUCAUUUAGGCCACUAAGUCUCCUUAGUGUGGAUGUAAAGGGGCUAGCGAGGUGUCUGGAAGUAGUCUUACCAGGACUCAUAUCACAGGAACAAACCGGCUUAAAAAAUGAAAGAUAUUCACUUGUUUAACAUUCGUACGCUGUUUAACAUUAUAUUUUCUAAACAAUUCUCCAACUCCCCUGAGGUGGUAAUCUCCCUAGAUGCAGAGAAGGCAUUCAACAGAAUUGAGAGGGAGUACCUAUUUGCUGUUCUUAAAAAAAUGUGGAUUUGGAGACAAAUUUAGCUAAAGGAUCCGUCUCUUGUAUACAUCUCCCCAGGCCAGUGUCUCUAAUAAUGACACCAGAUCUGAUUACUUUGUCCUGGAAAGUGGGAAAUGCCAAGGCUGCCCACUGUCCCCUUUAUUGUUCGCCCUCGCCAUUGAGCCCCUUUCACUUCGCUUUGCGGACAUCCUCUUCUUUCCAAGGUGUAACACGGGAAGGAGUUGAACAUUAUAUGCAGAUGAUUUGUUACACUAUGUAAAUAACCCUGUAACCUGUUUACCUUCUAUCCUUUCUAUUCUGGAUAACUUUGGCUCCUUCUCUGGUUACAAGCUGAAUCUUCCCAAUCAAUCCAGCAGUGGUCCAGCAGACAGACAGCAAAUAGGAUUUCACAUGGUUGGGCCUGGGAGGGCAUAGGACUACCCACAUGAGAGCCAGGCCCAACCACUGGGGAGCCAGGUCAAACCGCUGGGGAGCCAGGCCCAACCACUGGGGAGCCAGGUCAAACCGCUGGGGAGCCAGGCCCAACCACUGGGGAGCCAGGCCCAACCGCUAGGGAGCCAGGUCAAACCGCUAGGGAGCCAGGCCCAACCACUGGGGAGCCAGGCCCAACCGCUAGGGAGCCAGGCCCAACCACUGGGGAGCCAGGCCCAACCACUGGGGAGCCAGGCCCAACUGCUAGGGAGCCAGGCCCAACCGCUGGGGAGCCAGGCCCAACCGCUAGGGGAGCCAAGCUCAACCGCUUGGGGAGCCAGGCCCAACCGCUGGGGAGCCAGGCCCAACCGCUGGGGAGCCAGGCCCAACCGCUAGGGAGCCAGGCCCAACCGCCAGGGAGCCAGGCCCAACCAAUCAGAAGGAGUUUUUCCCCACAAAAGGACUUUAGUACUGACAGAAAUACUCCUCAGCAGCCCCCCUCUCCCCUCUGACGAUCCCCAGGCGAAGAAGCCGGAUGAUGAGGUCCUGGUCUGCGGUUGUGAGGCCGGUUGGAUGUACUGCCAUAUUCUCUAUAACAACGUUGGAGGCGGCUUAUGGUAGAUAAAUUAACAUUCCAUUACUUGGCAACCGCUCUGGUGGACGAUCCUGCAGUCAGCAUGCCAACUGCACGUGCUUUCAAAACUUGAGACAUCUGUGGCAUUGUUUUGUGACAAAACUGCACAUUUUAGAGAGGCCUUUUAUUGUCCCCAUCACAAGGUGCGCCUGUGUAAUCUUGCUGUUUAAUCAGCUUCUUGAUAUGCCACACCUGACAGGUGUAUGGAUUAUCUCGAUGAAGGAGAAAUGCUCACUAACAGGGAUGUAAACAAAUUUGUGCAUAAAAUUUGAGAGAAAUACGCCUUUGUGCGUAUGGGAAAUGUAUGGAAUCUUUUAUUUCAGCUCAUGAAACACGGGACCAACACUUUACAUGUUACGUUGAUAUUUUUUGUCCAGUAUAUAUGGGUCGGCAGGUAGCCUAGCAGUAUAGAGCGUUGGGCCUGUAACCGAAAGGUGACUACAUGAAAAAUCAGCCGAUGUGCCCUUAAGCAAGGCACUUAACCUGGACAAGAAUGUCUGCUAAAUGGAAAAAAUGUAAAUAUUCAUUUAUAUUUAAACAAUGUAUCAAAUUGGUUGCAUAUUGAAAGCCAAUUGAUUACAGUAUGUAAUAAACUUAAGGUUAAU